AGUCGGCCAUGUCUUGGCCGACCUUAGACAUUAGGAAGUUUUCCUUUUCUACGGUUUAGAUCUUUUCCUAUUUCAUGUUGAAUUAGGUUUUGGAUAAUUUCCUUUUUCCUAUACUUUGUAAUUCCUAUAUAAAAGAACCUUAUGAUUCAUUAAUAAUACACACAGAGAAUUCCCCAUUCUUUUACAACAGAAAGCAUUUGCCAAGGAUAUUUUCAUUAAUCAAGAACGAAAGUUGGGGGCUCGAAGACGAUCAGAUACCGUCCUAGUCUCAACCAUAAACGAUGCCGACCAGGGAUCAGCGGAUGUUGCUUUUAGGACUCCGCUGGCACCUUAUGAGAAAUCAAAGUUUUUGGGUUCCGGGGGGAGUAUGGUCGCAAGGCUGAAACUUAAAGGAAUUGACGGAAGGGCACCACCAGGAGUGGAGCCUGCGGCUUAAUUUGACUCAACACGGGGAAACUUACCAGGUCC
Molecule: non-coding RNA, 468 nt
Filed under: Brassica napus (rape)
Lineage: Eukaryota; Viridiplantae; Streptophyta; Magnoliopsida; Brassicales; Brassicaceae
Description: Eukaryotic small subunit ribosomal RNA
Rfam family: Eukaryotic small subunit ribosomal RNA
Source: Rfam by way of RNAcentral